CACAGAUCUGUCUAUCCAGGGCCU
RNAcentral lists this non-coding RNA (24 nucleotides) under Arabidopsis thaliana (thale cress). The record is from RNAcentral. Lineage: Eukaryota; Viridiplantae; Streptophyta; Magnoliopsida; Brassicales; Brassicaceae.